Molecule: long non-coding RNA, 2400 nt
Filed under: Gossypium barbadense (sea-island cotton)
Lineage: Eukaryota; Viridiplantae; Streptophyta; Magnoliopsida; Malvales; Malvaceae
Description: long non-coding RNA (GBAR_LNC008643)
Source: RNAcentral
UCACAUAAUACCAUAGCACAUGCAUGCAUAAUUAAAAUAGAUUUACAACCCCAUAAUCAAAAUAGGCCAACACAUAUGAUUAAAGCCAAUCACAUACUCUAAUAUUUAAACUCCUAUACAUGCCGGAGGCUCAAAGUACUUGAAAUCACUACACCAAUAGCGUUAGCUUGACAGUGUGAUAAUAUCUCUGACGGCCUCCAGCUCGAGCUAACUUGGAAACUCUAGAAAACAUGGAAAAGAAGAGGGGGGUAAGCUUUCGCUUAGUAAGUUCAUAUGAAAAUAAUAAGCACUCAUUAACUUGUUUUAUCAAUGUUUACAACAUAUUCUCAAGUUCACUACAAGCUGUCUUUCUGACCAAUGGUCACUAAAUUAUUUAUAUAUGGAGAUACGAAACUCCGAAUUAAGUUCCGUUAAUUUUCCCUGAAACUAGACUUAUUUUAAUUUCUUCCAUAAAAUUUUCAGAAUUUUUGGUUAAGCCAAAUAGUACAGUUUAUUUCUCAAAGUUACCCCUAAUUCACUGUCUGACAGUUCCGACCCUUUUGUACUAAGGUUCAAUUAUCUCAUAGUACAAGACUUGAAUAAUAUUCUCGUCUAUUUCUAUUGAAACUAGACUCAUAUGUAUACUUACUAAUUUUUUUCUAGAAUUUUUGGUCAAGCCAUUUAGUACAGUUUAUUAGUUAAAGUUUCCCCUAUUUCAGGGUAUGACUACUCUGACCCUUGUGCACUACAAACCGAAUUUGUUUUCCUUAAAAAUAUACUCAAUAAGGAAUCCAUGCAUGUAAGUUAUGACUCUUAAUAAUUUUUUUAAAAUUUAUGGUGAAUUUCUAAAGUCAGAACAUGGGAUCUUGAAUUCAUUCAGACCCUGUUUCACAAGAAUUCAAAUAUCACACAAUAUGGAAUUCUUUUUGUUCCCCUAUUUAUUUCAUGUGAAAAUAGACUCAUUAAGCUUUAAUCCCAUAUUUUAUUAUGCCUCUAACUCAUUUUACACUAUUUUUAGUGUAUUUUCAAAGUUACACUACUGCAGUAACUCAAAUCUGUCAAGGCUAAAUUACUCAUUCAUGAUCAUUGUUCACAAAAUUAAUACAACAUCGUUUGUAUAAUAUCACCGAGACAUUCAUAUCACAUUUUCAUUUACCAUCUUACCAUAUUGUUGUUAUGUUGAGUUUUCAACCCAAGGGUUAAGUACAUACCUGUUCAAAGUAUCCAUUUCACAACAUUUAUCAAUACAUCCCUUUCAUCUCGAGUAUUCCUCCAUUUGAGUAGAAUUUUACGUGUUGAACACAUCGGAAUAUAAUUCGGAUACAUGGAAAGUUUGCACAUAAGUGCCACAUAUGUAGCCAAGCUACCAUGUAACCCGCCCAUAAGUGAACUCGGACUCAACUCAACGAGCUCGGGCGUUCGCAUCCAUAAGUGAACUCGGACUCAACUCAACGAGCUCGGAUGCCUAGUUACAUCUCACGAACUCGGACUCAACUCAACGAGUUCGAACGUUCGCAUCCAUAAGUGAACUCGAACUCAACUCAACGAGUUCGGAUGCUCAACCAUCCUAGUGACAUGUCAUUUGUAUCCUAAUCUAUUCCUAAGGUUCAAACGGGAUUUUCCUCGAACACAUAUCCUUGCCAUCUUCCGUAAAAUAACAGAUAAUACACAUAACUUGCAUUUUAUUCGAAAAUAACCACAAAGCAUAUAUUUCAUGAUAAAAAUCAGCAUAUCAUAUAUUUAACAUCAAUAACUUAAAAAUAACAAUUAUGCUACAUUAUUUACACAUGAACUUACCUCGAUACCACAAAGGUGAAAAAAAAAACGUAAUUAUCCCUUAAUCGAUUUCUUUCCGUUCUAGGUCCAAAUCUCGAUUUUCAUCAUCUAAAAUAUCACAUUCAACUUAUUAAAACAAUGUACUGAUCAAAUUAGUCCACUGACACACUUGGGCAAUUUUUACAAUUUUGCCCCUAUAUUUUGCCAAAACUACCAGAUUACCCCUAGGCUCGUAAAAUAAUUUUUAUCACAUUUCUUUACUCUUGAGUCUAGAUGAACCAUUUUCAUAACUGUAGCAACUCAUAAUUUCAACUAUUUCACACAUUUACAACUCAUUUUACAACUUAGCAAUCUAGCCCUUUUUAAGGUGUUUUCAUGCAAUUUCUUUCAAAAAAGUUGUUUAUUAGACAACUAGGACUCAUAAUCUUCCAUAAAAAAUACAGAAAACAACACAUUUACUCUCAUGGAAAAACCCUAGACUCUUCAUCAUUUUGCAAAAUAGACCACUCAUAUGAAAGCUCAUGCUUUAGGGGUUCCAAAAAUGUAAAAAUCAUCAAGCAAAGACAUUAAAAUCACUUACAAGCAAGGGAAAUAUGUUUCUGAAAUUUUCCAGCUUCAAAGCCCUUUCUUUGCUGCAUAUUUCGG